GAUUUUACCCAGCUCGGGAAAGUGCCAACCGUACCAUUCUCUACAGCGCAUGAUAUAAUUAUUCAGUUCUUUGUCCAAGUCAUCAAGAAGUGAAAUUGCCUGAACGAUCAUGGUAUCUACUUUGUCUGGGCUGAAUUUCAACUUGUAUCGAGAAAGACUGUGUGCCAGGCCCAGACACAUAGCUGCCAUCUCUCGAGAAGGAAGGCCUGUAAUAAGCCCUUCAAUCUGUGAACGAAUCCCUCUCAUCAGCUCUGUAACCA
This 260-nucleotide long non-coding RNA is filed under the name Gallus gallus (chicken). Lineage: Eukaryota; Metazoa; Chordata; Aves; Galliformes; Phasianidae. The record is from RNAcentral.